RNAcentral lists this ribosomal RNA (253 nucleotides) under uncultured bacterium. RNAcentral's name for it is "partial 16S ribosomal RNA". It matches the Rfam family "Bacterial small subunit ribosomal RNA", at positions 524 to 776 of the family's 1533-position model. The record is from RNAcentral.
UACGGGGGGGGCAAGCGUUGUUCGGAAUUACUGGGCGUAAAGGGCUCGUAGGCGGCCAACUAAGUCAGACGUGAAAUCCCUCGGCUUAACCGGGGAACUGCGUCUGAUACUGGAUGGCUUGAGUGUGGGAGAGGGAUGCGGAAUUCCAGGUGUAGAGGUGAAAUUCGUAGAUAUUGGGAAGAACACCGGUGGCGAAGGCGGCGCUCUGGACCGAGACUGACGCUGAGGCGCGAAAGCGUGGGUAGCAAACAGG